GUUAGGUCUCGUUGGUGACCAGCGGAGGGAUCAUUACAGAGUUGCAAAACUCCCUAAACCAUUGUGAACGUUACCUAAACCGUUGCUUCGGCGGGCGGCCCCGGGGUUUACCCCCCGGGCGCCCCUGGGCCCCACCGCGGGCGCCCGCCGGAGGUCACCAAACUCUUGAAAAUUUUUGGCCUCUCUGAGUCUUCUGUACUGAAAAAGUCAAAACUUUCAACAACGGAUCUCUUGGUUCUGGCAUCGAUGAAGAACGCAGCGAAAUGCGAAAAGUAAUGUGAAUUGCAGAAUUCAGUGAAUCAUCGAAUCUUUGAACGCACAUUGCGCCCGCCAGUAUUCUGGCGGGCAUGCCUGUUCGAGCGUCAUUUCAACCAUCAAGCCCCCGGGCUUGUGUUGGGGACCUGCGGCUGCCGCAGGCCCUGAAAAGCAGUGGCGGGCUCGCUGUCACACCGAGCGUAGUAGCAUACAUCUCGCUCUGGGCGUGCUGCGGGUUCCGGCCGUUAAACCACCUUUUAACCCAAGGUUGACCUCGGAUCAGGUAGGAAGACCCGCUGAACUUAAGCAUAUCAAAAAGCGGAGGAAA
Molecule: ribosomal RNA, 583 nt
Filed under: Chaetomium globosum
Lineage: Eukaryota; Fungi; Ascomycota; Sordariomycetes; Sordariales; Chaetomiaceae
Description: eukaryotic LSU rRNA
Rfam family: 5.8S ribosomal RNA (bases 212-365)
Source: RNAcentral